CCAUGCCGUAAACGUUGGGCGCUAGGUGUGGGGUCCAUUCCACGGGUUCCGUGCCGCAGCUAACGCAUUAAGCGCCCCGCCUGGGGAGUACGGCCGCAAGGCUAAAACUCAAAGGAAUUGACGGGGGCCCGCACAAGCGGCGGAGCAUGUGGAUUAAUUCGAUGCAACGCGAAGAACCUUACCUGGGUUUGACAUGCACUAGACGCGUCCAGAGAUGGGCGUUCCCUUGUGGCUGGUGUGCAGGUGGUGCAUGGCUGU
This 258-nucleotide ribosomal RNA is filed under the name uncultured bacterium. RNAcentral describes it as "partial 16S ribosomal RNA". It matches the Rfam family "Bacterial small subunit ribosomal RNA", at positions 795 to 1052 of the family's 1533-position model. The record is from RNAcentral.